UUAUUUACUAAUUGAAUGAUUGUCUACAAAUCAGACUUCUAUUUUGUCAUAUUAUCAAUAAUCUCAUCAAGCCUUUGAUGGAUAGAAGGAUUCACAAUGGAAUGAGGGUUUUGAGGAGCAGAGGCAACGUCUUUUGCUUUAGUAGGUUCUGAGAAGUGAAGAUUCUGGUUCUGAAUCAAGAACAACAAUUUGGGGGUUGAAUAUCAUGAUGACACUCUAAGAUCAUAGUUCUAGUGGGUGAUGUAUAGAAGUAAUUGUAGUAGUGGAAAGGUGAGAGAGCUUCAUAAAAAUGAUAUUCAAAAGGAAAAUUAUCGUCCUACUCAAUUCUCAUAUUAA
Molecule: non-coding RNA, 336 nt
Organism: Lupinus albus (white lupine)
Lineage: Eukaryota; Viridiplantae; Streptophyta; Magnoliopsida; Fabales; Fabaceae
Source: the annotation of a GenBank genome assembly